UGGGGUGUGGCCAAGCGGUAAAGGCACCGGGUUCUGGCCCCGGGAUCCCAGGUUCGAAUCCUGGCACCCCAG
This 72-nucleotide transfer RNA is filed under the name Calditrichota bacterium. Its description in RNAcentral is "Calditrichaeota bacterium tRNA-Gln". It matches the Rfam family "tRNA". From Rfam's summary of the family: Transfer RNA (tRNA) molecules are approximately 80 nucleotides in length. Lineage: Bacteria; Pseudomonadati; Calditrichota. The record is from RNAcentral.